RNAcentral lists this ribosomal RNA (582 nucleotides) under Morchella eximia. RNAcentral's name for it is "partial large subunit ribosomal RNA". It matches the Rfam family "Eukaryotic large subunit ribosomal RNA", at positions 55 to 647 of the family's 3401-position model. Lineage: Eukaryota; Fungi; Ascomycota; Pezizomycetes; Pezizales; Morchellaceae. The record is from RNAcentral.
GGAAAAGAAACCAACAGGGAUUGCCUCAGUAACGGCGAGUGAAGCGGCAAAAGCUCAAAUUUUAAAGCUGGCAUCUUCGGUGUCCGCGUUGUAAUUUUGUGAGGCAUCUCCGGGUAGGGCGCCGGCCUAAGUUCCUUGGAACAGGACGUCACAGAGGGUGAGAAUCCCGUGCUUGGCUGGCUGUCCCCGUCCAUGUGAGGUGUCUUCGACGAGUCGAGUUGUUUGGGAAUGCAGCUCAAAAUGGGUGGUAAAUUUCAUCUAAAGCUAAAUAUUGGUGGGAGACCGAUAGCGCACAAGUAGAGUGAUCGAAAGAUGAAAAGCACUUUGAAAAUAGAGUUAAAAAGUACGUGAAAUUGUUGAAAGGGAAGCGCUUGAGACCAGACUUCGGUAGGGGGUGAUCAGCCGUGCUUCGGUGCGGUGCACUUGUUCCUCUCUGGGCCAGCAUCGGUUGAGGCGGCGGGAUAAAGGUCCCGGGAAUGUGGCUCCUUCACGGGAGUGUUAUAGCCCGGGUGAAUGCCGCCAGCUUCGACCGAGGACCGCGCCCGCAAGGGUUAGGAUGCUUGGCAUAAUGGUCUUCAGCGC